AGUGAACGCUGGCGGCAUGCCUAACACAUGCAAGUCGAACGGCAGCACAGUAAGAGCUUGCUCUUACGGGUGGCGAGUGGCGGACGGGUGAGGAAUACAUCGGAAUCUACUUUUUCGUGGGGGACAACGUAGGGAAACUUACGCUAAUACCGCAUACGACCUACGGUUGAAAGCAGGGGAUCUUCUGACCUUUCGCGUUUGAUUGAGCCGAUGUCGGAUUAGCUAGUUGGCGGGGUAAAGGCCCACCAAGGCGACGAUCCGUAGCUGGUCUGAGAGGAUGAGCAGGCACACUGGAAUGGAGAGACGGACCAGAAUCCUAAGGGAGGCAGCAGUGGGGAAUAUGGGAGAAUGGGGGAAAGCCGGAUCCAGCGAGACCGCGUGGUGGAGGAAGGCCUUGGGGUUGUAAAGCCCUUUUGUUGGGAAAGAAAAGCAGCAGGUGAAUGCAGCGCUGUUGUGACGGUACCCAAAGAAUAAGCACCGGCUAACUUCGUG
This 492-nucleotide ribosomal RNA is filed under the name uncultured bacterium. RNAcentral's name for it is "partial 16S ribosomal RNA". It matches the Rfam family "Bacterial small subunit ribosomal RNA", at positions 29 to 507 of the family's 1533-position model. The record is from RNAcentral.